ACCACCACCAAUAGUUAUUUUUGCUUACAUUUACUCCUUGCAAAUCCAAAAAUAAGAAAAUCUAUCAAUCAAACACAUCCAGAAAGUACUAAAGCUAUCACAAAAGUCUUGUGACAUACACAAUAUCGAUAAAUAACAGAAAAACACAUCCAGAAAGUAUUAAAGCUAUCACAAAAAUCUUGUGACAUACACAGUAUCGAUAAAUAAUAGAAAAAUACAUCCAG
Molecule: long non-coding RNA, 224 nt
Filed under: Elaeis guineensis (African oil palm)
Lineage: Eukaryota; Viridiplantae; Streptophyta; Magnoliopsida; Arecales; Arecaceae
Description: long non-coding RNA (EGUI_LNC009214)
Source: RNAcentral